Molecule: RNA transcript, 3490 nt
Organism: Papaver somniferum (opium poppy)
Lineage: Eukaryota; Viridiplantae; Streptophyta; Magnoliopsida; Ranunculales; Papaveraceae
Exons: 3
Source: RefSeq, a predicted model, not a curated record
GGUUGAGACGAUACCUAGUCCAAAGUAUAAAAAACUGUGGAAAACGGUCAGCCGGUCAUGGCUCGGGAGUCGUGCAUCACUAUUCAACCCCCCUGUUAAUUCUUCAUUUUAUUUCAUUUUUGGUCUUCUCGAGUUAAACCCUAGUUUGAUUUUCUGUUGCACUACCAGAAAUUCGCAGCUGAAGGUACACCACAAUGUCAAGUCUUCCUGAAGAGAUGUACCUCGACAUUCUUCUGAGGGUACCAGUGAAAUCAACAUUCGUCUGUAAGUGUGUUUGUAAAUCUUGGUUUCAAAUAAUUUCUAAUCCUAUUUUUGUUAAAUCCCAUCUUAAUCUUACCACACAAAGAAACAAUCACAGUCUAUUGAUUCAGAGUACUAUUUAAGAUUUGAUUCAUUAUCAUCGUCAAAUGAUGCCGAUGCUGCUGCUAUUGUUAGACUUACUAAAUUGUUGGGUUCAUGUGAUGGAUUAGUAUAUGGAUGGAUUCAUAUUUUCUGUGGAACCCAGCCACAAGUGAGUAUAAGGAAUUACCCAAAUCACCUGAUAAAUAUUAUAUGUGCAAAGGUGGUAACUAUGGUUUUGGUUAUGAUUAUAAGACCGAUGAUUACAAGUUGGUCAAUUUUGAUAUAAGGAAGGGGAGUACUUUAGUCGUAGUCUAUUCUUUAGAAUCAAACUCAUGGAAAAGCUUUGUAUCCAUUCAGUAUGAUUUUCCUUAUGUUGAUAUGGUUGGCGUGCCUUUCAAUGGAGCACUUCAUUGGUUCGGGAGUAUAAUAGGUAAACCAAACUCCACAGUGAUAGUCACAAUCGAUUUUAGUGAAGAAAAAUUUGAAGAACUGCAACUACCAAUGACACUACCAACGGAUCAACAUUAUAUGAAUAUGGGAGUGUUGGAAGAGUGCCUUUGUGUACUUGCUAAAUUAAAAGGGACGUUUGAAGUAUGGGUAAUGUCAGAUUAUGGAGUUCCAGAAUCUUGAACUAAACAUUUGAGAGGAUAAUGGGUUAUCCCUAUCUGGAGCUUAUCGGGUCUUUUAGGAACGGUGAGAUUCUGUUCAGGAACACAGACGAUCUAUUAAUCUCAUAUAGCUCAAUGUGUGGAACUGCUAGAAAAACAGAAAUUGAUUACCUACACAAGGGAGGAGCAGUGAAAUAUUUUGAAAGCUUAGUUUCUCUAAACUCAAAUACUGUUGUAGAAAGAAAGAGAAAGAGAGAUAUCACUUAUGUCUUGAUGAAGACUAAGAUGCUAAACAUGAGGCUCAGAAAGUCUUCUUGGUAUUGAGGCGAUCAGAUGAGACGAAGAACUGGAUUGGAGAAUGCACCAAUCUCAGAGGCUAACAAAUAUGGUGAUGUGUUCUCUCACUGAAAUAGCUUCAUAGAUAUGCUUUGGAUAUUACAUUUAUGUUUAGACAAGUUAAUAUCUUAUCUUCUGGAUAUAUUAAACAUGAACGCAACAUCAUGUGAGAUGUAUUUUCAUUCAGCUCUCUAUAUAAGUUGGUCUCUAGUAGUCUAGUGGUAUGAUUCUGAGUUAGAAACAGUUUCGAUUCAGCAAUACUAGUUAAAUCUAGUCAUUAUGUUGCAGCCGUCAUUUUGAGCUAAUGCUAUUUAUGCCUUUACCGGGAAAAAUGAAAAGAGAGAAAAUUGUGUAGUUCUAAUGAACUGUUUUUCUUUCCGUUUCUUGUUUUAUUGUUCAAUAUUUUACAACUUCCUAUUGAAAGUGAACCUUCUGUUUUGUUUCCUGUCUAGCAUCUGCCACAAUACACUGUCAGAGUUCCAUUACGAUUGUUAUUUUGCUUUCAUGAUCUCCUUUUCCUUUUCUUGUUUUGCUUCUGUGCAAUGUUAAUAGUUCCCAACACGAGUUCCACCAAGUUUGAUGCAUGUUAUGACUAUAAUUUUUCCCCACCGAGUUCUUUGAUAUUGUAAGUUACUGUUACCAAGCCAAAAAAUAUAGAGCUUGCCUUACUUCACAGGGCUAUAUGCUGUGGGAGUGGUUCUUUACUGUGUCUUUCUUAUUUUAAAUCAAGAGUUCUGUCUCUUGAAACUAGAUCCUAUUCAAGUAAGAUUACAUUUUCUUGGAUGCGUUUAAGCAUGUGCUGCAAGGGUAAGUGCUCUAAAAUUGGGUGUACAAGAUCCUUAAAGCGAGUUAUGUUCUAUUUCUAUCAUCUCUUUACCGUCCCUUCUAUGCGUAAUAUUUUAUGUAGACUGCAAAUGGGAAAUUCGGGGGAAAUUUUUUUCCACCCUCCAUGGUGCUUCUCUCACUAAUCAUGUUAUAACUAUAAGAUCUUUCAUAUCUGAAAGGUCGAUAUUAUUUUCAACACAAAGGACAAUGAUGGUUGAUUGAUGCUGUUUUGGGAGCUGAACUGAAUUGCCAUGGGCGUAUGGGUGUUCUUGACUAAACGACCUGUUAGGUUCAGAGUCAUGAUGGCUAGUAGGAGUGCUAUUGUAGAUCCAGUCUCGUUUAAUAUCCAGAAUUCUUCGAAUGUCACCUAAGAUAUUGAGCCACUUUCUUUGUUCGGUCAAGUUGCAUUGGGAAAAAUUGUUCAAAGUGCUAUUGUAACACAGUGUGGUUCAGCCCUAAAAUAGGAAAAAUUGUUCUGUUUUUUUUCUCUCCUAAACUUCGCAAACUAGAAACUAUAACAGAAGAAGAAGAGGAAUCUGUAGAGGCACGACAUGGACAGGGAAAAAGUUGCAGUUGCAAAGAAUAGAACUAGACUACCAAUUCUCGAUGUAUUCACAGUUCGAAAGCGUACAACUAGACCACCUUCACCAAAAGCAAUUGUUGAACCAACUUCAAGUGCUGCUGCUACUGGAAGAAGAAGUGCUGCUGCAACUUCAAGUGCACCAGCUAGUGGAAGAGGGUCUAGGAGUGGUGCUGCUGCUAGAGGAAGAGGGUAUAGUGUUGCUGCUGCUGGAGGCCAUGGUCCGCACUGCAACUACAACAACUGGUACAAGUGGUGGUUCCGCAACUACAGGAAGGGGUUGUGCUGCAACAAUUUCACCCAACUUCAAAGUUUAUGUUUUGAGAAAUGAGGCAACAGUUGAUGCCGCAGAAAAAUGUAUCGAAACUACAGAUUUAAUUCCGAGAGCUACUAGUUUAUCACCCAACUCCUUCCUCCUUGAUGCAGUUCAGCAGAAAUUUCUUUAAUCUAAUUAGUCAGUAUUUACCUGCAACUUGUCUACUGUUUUAAGCGGCUCACUGGAAGUGCUGAUGUUGGCACGGGAUCUCAUUUACAGCUAGUGGAAAACCACAGCAUUUCGCAUAAUCCACUCACAAAGUUGGGAAGUUCAGAACUACAACUGGUGAAAUCAUUUAGUAAGAAGACUACAAAUCAUCCCCACUCCGACUCCAUCUACGCAGCUUUCCCUUUUUCUUAUUCUUGUCAAACCGUAUAAUAUGUUGCUAGCUUAGGCUUUUGAUAUUGUAGGGGCAAUUGAACUGGGAGUGCACGAGGAAGCAUUUUUGCUGGCAAAGAAAGAAGUUGGAAUUUUCUUAAGUAA